Molecule: non-coding RNA, 586 nt
Organism: Cajanus cajan (pigeon pea)
Lineage: Eukaryota; Viridiplantae; Streptophyta; Magnoliopsida; Fabales; Fabaceae
Source: RefSeq, a predicted model, not a curated record
AAGGCUAAAGGAGUGCAACCUUCUCGAGCACAAAUUUAUAUAAACACUCAAACCCGACAAAAUGGAAGCAUUGUUAGAGAAAAAGCUGCUACUGUAAUUGAUGAGUUGAAGAAGCAUAUGAUUGAGGCAGAAAGUUCACAAACCACUCAAGAUACUACCAAUUGGAAAAAUGAUAUAUACUCAAAAGUUAAAGGACCUGAAAAAAGAGGACGAGUGCGUUGUCUUGGAAAGCUUCCACGACAUGCAAGUUCAUACCAAAGCUCUACCAUAGACAAUAGGAUUCAAAAAUUAGAGAGUUUGCUUGGAAAUCUUGUUGUGUCCUUCAAUCACGGUUUGUAGAUGAUCCACAGAUUAAUCAAGUUUUACAAGCUGUAGCUGAAGAGGUACCUACAAAUGUUUCAAAUGAUUCUAUCAGUGAAAAUCAUCAAACUGCAAGAGACCCCAAAUGAGAAAAGUUGAUAUAGGAUUGGUGAAGGAUUUACAUGCAGUAGAUCAUCAUAGAUGGCAAUACUUACAGGAUGACAUUUAUCAAUACAAUAUGUUUUCCUUUUUUUAUUUCUAAUUAGCAACUUUAAUAUCAUGAAUU